RNAcentral lists this unclassified non-coding RNA (383 nucleotides) under Hevea brasiliensis (rubber tree). Lineage: Eukaryota; Viridiplantae; Streptophyta; Magnoliopsida; Malpighiales; Euphorbiaceae. The record is from RNAcentral.
GCGUUUCUCUAGAUAACAAUGCUAAAUAUGCUUUACAUUCUAUUAAUUUAUUUAAUUAUUUUCAAAAUUUUUAAUUAAAAUUUUUAAUUUUAAUAUAAAAUCAUUUUUAAUAUUUUCUCAUUAAUAUAUAUAUAUAUAUAUUUGACAAUAAUUUAAUGGUAAUGAUAAAAAAAAAUUUUAUUUGAUGAUCAAUAGAAAAGCAAAUCCAUAACAAUUGAGUGACGGAGAAAUCAACUACAAUAUUCUUAGGGGUGGAGCCAAAGAAACCAAAGAAAAAUAAAAUGUAGAGUAAUAUAUACUUACCAUACCACUUGGCAAGCUCGUCGUUCGCAGGUGAAACGGCAGAAGGCUUGGGUUUGGGAGGUGGAGCAGCCUUCUUCCUA